RNAcentral lists this ribosomal RNA (343 nucleotides) under Gracilipsodes aurorus. RNAcentral describes it as "partial 16S ribosomal RNA". Lineage: Eukaryota; Metazoa; Arthropoda; Insecta; Trichoptera; Leptoceridae. The record is from RNAcentral.
AUAAUAAUUAGUUUUUUAAUUGGAAACUGGAAUGAAUGAUUGGAUAAGAUAUAAGCUUUUUUUUUUAAAAUUUCAUAGAACUUAAAUUUUUAGUUAAAAAGCUAAAAUUAUUUAAAAAGACGAGAAGACCCUAUAGAUUUUUAUUUAAUUAAAAUUAUUAAUUUAAUUUUAAUUAAAUUUUAUUGGGGGGAUAAAAAAAUUUAAAAAACUUUUUAAGUUAUUGACAAAUAAUAUGUGAAACUUUAAAAUAUAAACUAUUUAAAUUAUUAUAAAUAAAGAUUAAAAUACCUUAGGGAUAACAGCGUAAUUUUAAUUUUAAGAUCUCAUUUAAAUUAAAGAUUGC